UAAUGCUUAGGAAUCUGCCCAGUAGUGGGGGAUAGCCCGGGGAAACCCGGAUUAAUACCGCAUACGUCCUACGGGAGAAAGCAGGGGAUCUUCGGACCUUGCGCUAUUGGAUGAGCCUAAGUCGGAUUAGCUAGUUGGUGGGGUAAAGGCCUACCAAGGCGACGAUCCGUAGCUGGUCUGAGAGGAUGAUCAGCCACAUCGGGACUGAGACACGGCCCGAACUCCUACGGGAGGCAGCAGUGGGGAAUAUUGGACAAUGGGGGCAACCCUGAUCCAGCCAUGCCGCGUGUGUGAAGAAGGCUUUCGGGUUGUAAAGCACUUUCAGUAGGGAGGAAAACCUUAUGGUUAAUACCCAUGAGGCUUGACGUUACCUACAGAAGAAGCACCGGCUAACUCCGUGCCAGCAGCCGCGGUAAUACGGAGGGUGCAAGCGUUAAUCGGGAAUUACUGGGCGUAAAGCGCGCGUAGGUGGUUUGGUAAGCGAGAUGUGAAAGCUCCGGGCUUAACCUGGGAACGGCAUUUCGAACUGUCAGACUAGAGUGUGGUAGAGGGUAGUGGAAUUUCCUGUGUAGCGGUGAAAUGCGUAGAUAUAGGAAGGAGCACGAAUGGCGAAGGCGGCUACCUGGG
Molecule: ribosomal RNA, 627 nt
Filed under: Marinobacter nauticus
Lineage: Bacteria; Pseudomonadati; Pseudomonadota; Gammaproteobacteria; Pseudomonadales; Marinobacteraceae
Description: bacterial SSU rRNA
Rfam family: Bacterial small subunit ribosomal RNA
Source: RNAcentral